GGAGAGGUGCCGGAGCGGUUUAACGGGUACGCCUGGAGAGCGUAAGUCCUGAGAAAUCGGGACCCAGGGUUCAAAUCCCUGCCUCUCCGCCA
Molecule: transfer RNA, 92 nt
Filed under: Candidatus Omnitrophota bacterium
Lineage: Bacteria; Pseudomonadati; Candidatus Omnitrophota
Description: tRNA-Ser
Rfam family: tRNA
About the family: Transfer RNA (tRNA) molecules are approximately 80 nucleotides in length.
Source: RNAcentral